CCACGACGCACGCACGACGCAACGGUCUUGAUAAGUUCAUGCUACAUCGUUUCGAAUGGUGGCGACGAGAAACUGCAACCUAACUCUUCGAAAAAUCCGAGAGAUAACGUUACUCACCCAUUCCAACUCUUCGCUGUUUUCCGAGUGCGGGCUUUUUGCAGUUCAGGCGAUAGGGGCGAUAGCCACUAUUUUACAAAUCAAAACGCUCUGUGGUUUUUUGAUCUCAGAUCUCAGAUAAAACAAUCUCCCGGAAUUGGAGAAACAAAAUGGGAUGUGAAAUUGCAGACAAACAGCGUGCAUUGACAAUAAUGUUGCAGCAAAUAUCAAAACUAGUAAAAGCGUCGCAGAAUUUUUUCCUCAAAAAGCAGUGAAUAAAGAAAAAGAAGAAAUAUCAAAAGAGCAUCCAAAGGCGCCUUGAUCUGGAAUUUCAACAGUUUCUCCUUACGAAUACAAUUAAAUAAAAAGGAACCACGCCACAUGUGCCUGAAAGAUGAAGAAUCGAUGAAGAUGAAAUACCAUGAAACAAUUUAUGAAGAUCCGAGUAAUGAUGAUUUACUCUAUAGGUGUAUUGAUGGCUUCAAUAAAAACAGCAACGAAAGCUUCAAUCAGAUGAUCCAGUAAAAUGUUGUAGUGGUCGCCACGAAGCACUACUUGGAAAAGGGGGUCCACAAAGAUAUGGUGAUAUUUGUAUAAAUAAUUGAUCUUUUUUUUGUAAUUUUGUAAAGUCAAGUUAAGACAUAAUAUUGAAACUCUGUGUAAUCAGUUUUAUGAGAUGAACUUAAUAAAAAUGAAAAGACCCCAUUUUAGCA
Venturia canescens is the source of this 809-nucleotide long non-coding RNA. RefSeq lists it as uncharacterized. The record is from RefSeq and is a predicted model, not a curated record. The transcript has 5 exons. Lineage: Eukaryota; Metazoa; Arthropoda; Insecta; Hymenoptera; Ichneumonidae.